AGUGAACGCUGGCGGUAGGCCUAACACAUGCCAGUCGAACGGCAGCACAGUAAGAGCUUGCUCUUACGGGUGGCGAGUGGCGGACGGGUGAGGAAUACAUCGGAAUCUACUUUUUCGUGGGGGAUAACGUAGAGAAACUUACGCUAAUACCGCAUACGACCUACGGGUGAAAGCAGGGGAUCUUCGGACCUUGCGCGAUUGAAUGAGCCGAUGUCGGAUUAGCUAGUUGGCGGGGUAAAGGCCCACCAAGGCGACGAUCCGUAGCUGGUCUGAGAGGAUGAUCAGCCACACUGGAACUGAGACACGGUCCAGACUCCUACGGGAGGCAGCAGUGGGGAAUAUUGGACAAUGGGCGCAAGCCUGAUCCAGCCAUACCGCGUGGGUGAAGAAGGCCUUCGGGUUGUAAAGCCCUUUUGUUGGGAAAGAAAAGCAGCAGGUUAAUACCCCGCUGUUCUGACGGUACCCAAAGAAUAAGCACCGGCUAACUUCGUG
Molecule: ribosomal RNA, 492 nt
Filed under: uncultured bacterium
Lineage: Bacteria
Description: partial 16S ribosomal RNA
Rfam family: Bacterial small subunit ribosomal RNA
Source: RNAcentral